AUGAACGCUGGCGGCGUGCUUAACACAUGCAAGUCGAACGGAAAGGCUCCUGCUUGCAGGGGUACUCGAGUGGCGAACGGGUGAGUAACACGUGGGUGAUCUGCCCUGUACUUCGGGAUAAGCCUGGGAAACUGGGUCUAAUACCGGAUAGGACGAUGGUUUGGAUGCCAUUGUGGAAAGUUUUUCGGUGUGGGAUGAGCUCGCGGCCUAUCAGCUUGUUGGUGGGGUAAUGGCCUACCAAGGCGUCGACGGGUAGCCGGCCUGAGAGGGUGUACGGCCACAUUGGGACUGAGAUACGGCCCAGACCCCUAGGGGGGGCAGAGGGGGGGAAUAUUGCACAAUGGGGGCAAGCCUGAUGCAGCGACGCCGCGGGGGGGAGGCCGGCCUUGGGGUUGUAAACCCCUUUCGCUAGGGACGAAGCGCAAGGGACGGUACCGGGAGAAGAAGCCCCGGCUAACUACG
Molecule: ribosomal RNA, 462 nt
Filed under: uncultured bacterium
Lineage: Bacteria
Description: partial 16S ribosomal RNA
Rfam family: Bacterial small subunit ribosomal RNA
Source: RNAcentral